RNAcentral lists this unclassified non-coding RNA (343 nucleotides) under soil metagenome. RNAcentral describes it as "partial contains 5.8S ribosomal RNA, internal transcribed spacer 2, and large subunit ribosomal RNA". The stretch from base 1 to 120 matches the Rfam family "5.8S ribosomal RNA", at positions 35 to 154 of the family's 154-position model. The record is from RNAcentral.
GAUGAAGAACGCAGCGAAAUGCGAUAAGUAAUGUGAAUUGCAGGAUUCAGUGAAUCAUCGAAUCUUUGAACGCACAUUGCGCCCGCUAGUAUUCUGGCGGGCAUGCCUGUCCGAGCGUCAUUUCAACCCUCAAGCCCCCGGGCUUGGUGUUGGGGAUCGGCGAGCCUCCGCGCCCGCCGUCCCCUAAAUCUAGUGGCGGUCUCGCUGUAGCUUCCUCUGCGUAGUAGCACACCUCGCACUGGGAAACAGCGCGGCCACGCCGUUAAACCCCCAACUUCUGAACGUUUGACCUCGGAUCAGGUAGGAAUACCCGCUGAACUUAAGCAUAUCAAUAAGCGGAGGA